UCAGUAACACGUAGUCAAUCUGCCCCGUGGAGGUGUAUAACCCCGGGAAACUGGGGACAAUCCGCCAUAGGUGAUGGAUGCUGGAACGCACCACCGCCGAAAUGGUUGCGGCAUCUACUGGCCGUAUUCCGCCGCGGGAUGAGACUGCGCCCGAUUAUGGUAGAAGGCGGUGUAACGGACUCGCCUUGCCUGUAAUCGGUACCAGCAUUGGGAGAUGGAGCUGGGAGAUGGGUACUGAGACAAGGACCCAGGCCCUACGGGGCGCAGCAGUUGCGAAACCUCCGCAAUGCGCGAAAGCGUGACGGGGUUACCCCAAGUGCCAUCCGCUGAGGACGGCUUUUCUUUGGUGUAAUGAGCCAAAGGAAUAAGGGGAGGGCAAGACUGGUGUCAGCCGCCGCGGUAAUACCAGCUCCCCGAGUGGUAGGGACAAUUAUUGGGCUUAAAGCGUCCGUAGCCGGCCUGACAAGUCUUUCGUUAAAUCCAGCGACUUAAUCGUUGGGCUGCGGGAGAUACUAUCGGGCUAGGGGACGGGAGAGGCCGAUGGUAUUCUUGGGGUAGGGGUGAAAUCCUAUAAUCCCAGGAGGACCACCAGUGGCGAAGGCGAUCGGCUAGAACGCGCUCGACGGUGAUGGACGAAAGCUGGGGGAGCGAACCGGAUUAGAUACCCGGGUAGUCCCAGCUGUAAACGAUGCGAGCUAGGUGUUGGGGUG
This 710-nucleotide ribosomal RNA is filed under the name uncultured archaeon. RNAcentral's name for it is "bacterial SSU rRNA". It matches the Rfam family "Archaeal small subunit ribosomal RNA", at positions 90 to 781 of the family's 1478-position model. The record is from RNAcentral.